AUACAAUUUAGAACUUGACUGAAAUUUUGCUCGGGUAGAGUUUGAUGCAUGGAUUUGCUGCUGAAUUUAGUAUUGGUUAGUCGUAAGAGCAGAGUGAGGGAAUUUGUUUGUGUCUGUUCUCAAUUUGAGAGUUAUAAGAACAUAAUCGGAGGUUUAUGAAUGAACCUUGUGAAGUAUAGGGUAAGUGAAGUUACCGAUGCCUGAUGCUGUUGAUGUUGGGGUUCAAUAAGCGGGGGAGGGGAUUCCUUCUCCCAGUUUUAAGUUUUGGAACUAUUUUGAGGAGAGAAAUAAAGAGCUAUUGACGGCACUAGGAGUUGGUGACUAAAAUGGUAAGGUUCGUGCUUGGAGGGUGGUUGACAAAUUGUCUCAACAAAAUCCCUUGUGAUUUGAAGGAACUAAUGCACAGACUCUUCGGCAACACCCUUGUAGUAUGUUUUAACUGGCAGUACUCAAUUCUAACCAUCACGGGGGUUGGACAUCUAAAAUGGUAUUGCACUUUGAAUUUUAUUAUCUAGUUUAGUGACUAAUAUGUGGUCUUGUGUGGGACUGUUUGCCAUUUUUACUCAAGACUAGCUUUAUGGACUAAGGCAAAUGUUUAAAUGGAAUUAUUGCAAG
Long non-coding RNA from Papaver somniferum (opium poppy), 615 nucleotides. RefSeq lists it as uncharacterized. NCBI's taxonomy places the organism in Eukaryota, Viridiplantae, Streptophyta, Magnoliopsida, Ranunculales, Papaveraceae. The transcript is spliced from 2 exons. The record is from RefSeq and is a predicted model, not a curated record.